Transfer RNA from Babesia microti strain RI, 72 nucleotides. It matches the Rfam family "tRNA". From Rfam's summary of the family: Transfer RNA (tRNA) molecules are approximately 80 nucleotides in length. Their secondary structure includes four short double-helical elements and three loops (D, anti-codon, and T loops). Further hydrogen bonds mediate the characteristic L-shaped molecular structure. tRNAs have two regions of fundamental functional importance: the anti-codon, which is responsible for specific mRNA codon recognition, and the 3' end, to which the tRNAs corresponding amino acid is attached (by aminoacyl-tRNA synthetases). tRNAs cope with the degeneracy of the genetic code in two manners: having more than one tRNA (with a specific anti-codon) for a particular amino acid; and 'wobble' base-pairing, i.e. permitting non-standard base-pairing at the 3rd anti-codon position. The record is from Rfam. NCBI's taxonomy places the organism in Eukaryota, Apicomplexa, Aconoidasida, Piroplasmida, Babesiidae.
AGAUUUUUAGUUUACUGGUAAAACAUAUCUUUGAUAAGGAUAAAAUAUUUGGUUCAAUUCCAAAAAAAUCUA